CACUACGGCGGGCCGGGUGGGGAGACCGCAAGGUCUGCCGGUGCUCCAGAGAGCCGGUUCGCCAGCCCCGCCGUCAGGCCCGCCACCUCG
RNAcentral lists this non-coding RNA (90 nucleotides) under Ralstonia sp. NFACC01. The record is from RNAcentral. Lineage: Bacteria; Pseudomonadati; Pseudomonadota; Betaproteobacteria; Burkholderiales; Burkholderiaceae.